Molecule: ribosomal RNA, 253 nt
Filed under: uncultured bacterium
Lineage: Bacteria
Description: partial 16S ribosomal RNA
Rfam family: Bacterial small subunit ribosomal RNA
Source: RNAcentral
UACAGAGGUCUCAAGCGUUGUUCGGAAUCACUGGGCGUAAAGGGUGCGUAGGCCGCAGGGAAAGUCAGAUGUGAAAUCCGGAGGCUCAACCUUCGAAUAGCAUCCGAUACUACCUCGCUAGAGAGCUGUAGGGGGGUUUGGAAUUCUCGGUGUAGCAGUGAAAUGCGUAGAUAUCGAGAAGAACGCUCGUGGCGAAAGCGAAACCCUGGACAGUUUCUGACGCUGAGGCACGAAGGCUAGGGGAGCAAACGGG